GGAUGGACCUAAUGCAUAGACACACAGACACACGGACACACAGACACACAACACUGGAGACAGAAAAAAGCUGGGAGUGGUGGCAGCUAGAACUUCUGUAAAGGCUGAUUCUACAGUUACAAUCUGCUUCUACAGCACAGCCCCUUUGACAAAUUGCUAUGGAUGUUCUGGAGUUUGAGAUUGCCCAUUUCUAUCUGUAUGUCUGCCUGUCUUCCUCCCUUCCUUCCUUCUGCAGAACCAGCUUGCCUCCAUUUUAGGCUUAAAAGCCAUCUAGUAGAAAAGACAAGCUAAGUUCUAUCCUGAUGAAGAUUAAGUCUGCUCCUCAAGGACGGGGCUAUGCCCCACCUAUAACCUUAACUACAAAUGGUUCUCUACUAUCUGUUCCGGAGACCUCAACUGAGUCUUUGUCUCAAAACGUAGUUAUAACCAUC
Molecule: long non-coding RNA, 431 nt
Filed under: Mus caroli (Ryukyu mouse)
Lineage: Eukaryota; Metazoa; Chordata; Mammalia; Rodentia; Muridae
Description: predicted gene, 37146 (MGP_CAROLIEiJ_G0004345.1)
Source: RNAcentral